CUAACAUUAAUGUUAUCAUUCCUCAACAACUCUUCCUCUCUGACAACAGUCAGCUACCAAAGCGACAAUAGCUACUUCAUCUGGAAAAAAUAAUAUUGACAAGUCAAAAAAAUGACAACCUAUAUUUAGCUAUUAAAACGACUGACUUAACUUGCCAAGAAGUUGCAGUUGGUUCUCACUUCUCUUCUCAAUGAAUGUGAAAUACCUUCUUAUAGGAAGUCAGGUGGUUGAUGAUAACAACCCAUAUCAAAUAUUCAAAGAGGUAUUCAAAUAAGGGUAUCCACCAAUCCAAAACAAGGACUAGGCAGAAAGUUCACAUUGUUAGGAUAGAGACUAGAUCAUAUUGUCAUUAUAUAGAGUAACUCUGACUAAAUAUGGCUGGGUUUAUAUCUGGUGGGUACUGGGUAGUAAAUGGCUGUGUGAGGCUUUAUCCUAAACCAUUCCAGAGUUUGUGGACAAUGAUCCACAUUGUUAGGAUAGAGACUAGACCAUCUUGUCAUUAUAUAGAGUAUCUCUGACUAAAUAUGGCUGAGUUUAUAUCUGGUGGGUACUGGGUAGUAAAUGGCUGUGUGAGCCUUUAUCCUAAACCAAGAGUGACACCUGGUGGUUACUAUAUGCAUUACAUGCAGGUUUCUCGUAAAGCAAAACCAAUGAAAGCAAAUACUGCAAUCCAGCCACAUAUAUGUUUAGUUGUCAAAAAACAGAUGAAAGACACUGUAGACACAUCUAUAUUUUUUAAAUACAACUUUUUUGUUGUUGUUGUUACAAUUACACAAACAUUUGUGGCAUUCUUCAAUUAUAUAAAAAAUAAAAAUCAACAGCACACAACCAAUGGCUCAAAUUAAAAGUUUUAAAACAUUUGUACCCAAAGUAGUAUAUCCCCAAUACUGUCCUUUACAUCCAUUUGACUAUGCUGGUUUUUACACGAUCAAUUGAUCAUCUCUGAGUUAUUGAUCAAUGCGCUCAAAUCAAUGGAAGUGGAAAUAAACUAUUGUGUAGCAGUGAAGUGGAUGUGUCAACCAGCAUUCGGUUCAACUCAACAACGUCAUGUCAUCGGCCUGGGAGACAUCUAUCAGUUUGUGCCGUCAUUGACAAUGACAGCAAUGGAGUUGGCAAGACAACACAAACAGAUCUGGGACCCGCCUGGUGGUCUUUUCAACCAGUUUGGCUCACCGGGAGGGCUGACGAGUCAUUACACAGGCCAGACAGAAUUCAUUACUGCAAUGAUACGGAUAAUGACAAGUAUAGGGACUAGGAGAGUACAGGGACUAGGAGAGUACAGGGACUAGGAGAGUACAGGGACUAGGAGAGUACAGGGACUAGGAGAGUACAGGGACUAGGAGAGUACAGGGACUAGGAGAGUAUAGGGACUAGGAGAGUAUAGGGACUAGGAGAGUACAGGGACUAGGAGAGUACAGGGACUAGGAGAGUACAGGGACUAGGAGAGUACAGGGACUAGGAGAGUACAGGAAAGAAACAGGGACUAGGAGAGUACAGGGACUAGGAGAGUAUAGGGACUAGGAGAGUACAGGGACUAGGAGAGUACAAGGACUAGGAGAGUAUAGGGACUAGGAGAGUACAGGAAAGAAACAGGGACUAGGAGAAAACAGGGACUAGGAGAGUACAGGGACUAGGAGAGUACAGGGACUAGGAGAGUACAGGGACUAGGAGAGUACAGGGACUAGGAGAGUAUAGGGACUAGGAGAGUAUAGGGACUAGGAGAGUACAGGAAAGAAACAGGGACUAGGAAAAUACAGGAAAGUACAGGGACUAGGAAAGUACAGGGACUAGGAAAGUACAGGAAAGUACAGGGACUAGGAGAGUACAGGGACUAGGAGAGUACAGGAAAGUACAGGGACUAGGAAAAUACAGGAAAGUACAGGGACUAGGAAAGUACAGGGACUAGGAGAGUACAGGGACUAGGAGAGUACAGGAA
This is a long non-coding RNA of Oncorhynchus tshawytscha (Chinook salmon), 1936 nucleotides long. NCBI's taxonomy places the organism in Eukaryota, Metazoa, Chordata, Actinopteri, Salmoniformes, Salmonidae. The record is from Ensembl.